RNAcentral lists this transfer RNA (74 nucleotides) under Anolis humilis (humble anole). Its description in RNAcentral is "tRNA-Cys". The record is from RNAcentral. Lineage: Eukaryota; Metazoa; Chordata; Lepidosauria; Squamata; Anolidae.
AAACGGGAGAAGCCCCGGAGCCCUUUAGGGGCUCUUCUUCAAAUUUGCAUUUUGAUGUAAGUCACUUCGGAGCU